This 88-nucleotide unclassified non-coding RNA is filed under the name Pseudomonas corrugata. Lineage: Bacteria; Pseudomonadati; Pseudomonadota; Gammaproteobacteria; Pseudomonadales; Pseudomonadaceae. The record is from RNAcentral.
GUGGAAGCGGGCUUGCUCGCGAAUGCGGUAUGUCAGUCAAAAAUUGUGCUGGUUGACCCACCGCAUUCGCGAGCAAGCCCGCUCCCAC